UCGAGAAUCUUCGGCAAUGGGCGCAAGCCUGACCGAGCGACGCCGCGUGCGAGAUGAAGGCCUUCGGGUUGUAAAUCGCUGUCAGAGGGGAGGAAAUGCCGGUGGGUUCUCCCACCGGUUUGACCUAUCCUCAGAGGAAGGACGGGCUAAGUUCGUGCCAGCAGCCGCGGUAAGACGAACCGUCCAAACGUUAUUCGGAAUCACUGGGCUUAAAGGGUGCGUAGGCGGUCCGGGAAGUUGGGUGUGAAAGCCCUCGGCUCAACCGAGGAAUUGCGCCCAAAACUGCCGGGCUUGAGGGAGACAUAGGUGAGCGGAACUUAGGGUGGAGCGGUGAAAUGCGUUGAGAUCCUAAGGAACACCAGUAGCGAAAGCGGCUCACUGGGUCUCUUCUGACGCUGAAGCACGAAAGCUAGGAGAGCGAAGAG
RNAcentral lists this ribosomal RNA (425 nucleotides) under uncultured bacterium. RNAcentral's name for it is "bacterial SSU rRNA". It matches the Rfam family "Bacterial small subunit ribosomal RNA", at positions 355 to 775 of the family's 1533-position model. The record is from RNAcentral.